GGGGUGCCUGGGUGACUCAGUUGGUUAAGCAUCCAAUUCUUGGUUUCAGCUCAGGUCAUGAUCUUACAGUUAAUGAGAUGGAGCCCUCACAGGCCUCUGUGGAGACUGGCAGAGCCUGCUUGGGAUUC
Molecule: long non-coding RNA, 128 nt
Organism: Herpailurus yagouaroundi (jaguarundi)
Lineage: Eukaryota; Metazoa; Chordata; Mammalia; Carnivora; Felidae
Exons: 3
Source: RefSeq, a predicted model, not a curated record